GGGUUGUGAGGUUAAGCGACUAAGCGUACACGGUGGAUGCCCUGGCAGUCAGAGGCGAUGAAGGGCGUGCUAAUCUGCGAUAAGCGCCGGUAAGGUGAUAUGAACCGUUAUAACCGGCGAUACCCGAAUGGGGAAACCCAGUGUGAUUCGUCACACUAUCAUUAACUGAAUCCAUAGGUUAAUGAGGCGAACCGGGGGAACUGAAACAUCUAAGUACCCCGAGGAAAAGAAAUCAACCGAGAUUCCCCCAGUAGCGGCGAGCGAACGGGGAGGAGCCCAGAGCCUGAAUCAGCAUGUGUGUUAGUGGAAGCGUCUGGAAAGGCGCGCGAUACAGGGUGACAGCCCCGUACACAAAAGCGCAUGUGCUGUGAGCUCGAUGAGUAGGGCGGGACACGUGGUAUCCUGUCUGAAUAUGGGGGGACCAUCCUCCAAGGCUAAAUACUCCUGACUGACCGAUAGUGAACCAGUACCGUGAGGGAAAGGCGAAAAGAACCCCGGCGAGGGGAGUGAAAAAGAACCUGAAACCGUGUACGUACAAGCAGUGGGAGCCCCACCACUAAGCCAGUGGUGAACUCCACAUCCGCAUCCUUUGCUGAGGAUACGGUUAACGGAGCGAAAGCGACGUUCAACCGCAAAACAAGCAGAGGGGGCUUAGUGGUGGGGUGACUGCGUACCUUUUGUAUAAUGGGUCAGCGACUUAUAUUCUGUAGCAAGGUUAACCGAAUAGGGGAGCCGGAGGGAAACCGAGUCUUAAUUGGGCGUUAAGUUGCAGGGUAUAGACCCGAAACCCGGUGAUCUAGCCAUGGGCAGGUUGAAGGUUGGGUAACACUAACUGGAGGACCGAACCGACUAAUGUUGAAAAAUUAGCGGAUGACCUGUGGCUGGGGGUGAAAGGCCAAUCAAACCGGGAGAUAGCUGGUUCUCCCCGAAAGCUAUUUAGGUAGCGCCUCGUGAAUUCAUCUCCGGGGGUAGAGCACUGUUUCGGCUAGGGGGCCAUCCCGGCUUACCAACCCGAUGCAAACUGCGAAUACCGGAGAAUGUUAUCACGGGAGACACACGGCGGGUGCUAACGUCCGUCGUGAAGAGGGAAACAACCCAGACCGCCAGCUAAGGUCCCAAAGUCAUGGUUAAGUGGGAAACGAUGUGGGAAGGCCCAGACAGCCAGGAUGUUGGCUUAGAAGCAGCCAUCAUUUAAAGAAAGCGUAAUAGCUCACUGGUCGAGUCGGCCUGCGCGGAAGAUGUAACGGGGCUAAACCAUGCACCGAAGCUGCGGCAGCGACGCUGAUGCGUUGUUGGGUAGGGGAGCGUUCUGUAAGCCUGUGAAGGUGUGUCGUGAGGCAUGCUGGAGGUAUCAGAAGUGCGAAUGCUGACAUAAGUAACGAUAAAGCGGGUGAAAAGCCCGCUCGCCGGAAGACCAAGGGUUCCUGUCCAACGUUAAUCGGGGCAGGGUGAGUCGACCCCUAAGGCGAGGCCGAAAGGCGUAGUCGAUGGGAAACGGGUUAAUAUUCCCGUACUUGGUGUUACUGCGAAGGGGGGACGGAGAAGGCUAUGUUGGCCGGGCGACGGUUGUCCCGGUUUAAGCGUGUAGGUGUGUGUUCCAGGUAAAUCCGGUUCACUUUAACACUGAGGCGUGACGACGAGGCACUACGGUGCUGAAGCAACAAAUGCCCUGCUUCCAGGAAAAGCCUCUAAGCAUCAGGUAACACGAAAUCGUACCCCAAACCGACACAGGUGGUCAGGUAGAGAAUACCAAGGCGCUUGAGAGAACUCGGGUGAAGGAACUAGGCAAAAUGGUGCCGUAACUUCGGGAGAAGGCACGCUGACACGUAGGUGAAGUGAUUUACUCAUGGAGCUGAAGUCAGUCGAAGAUACCAGCUGGCUGCAACUGUUUAUUAAAAACACAGCACUGUGCAAACACGAAAGUGGACGUAUACGGUGUGACGCCUGCCCGGUGCCGGAAGGUUAAUUGAUGGGGUCAGCGCAAGCGAAGCUCCUGAUCGAAGCCCCGGUAAACGGCGGCCGUAACUAUAACGGUCCUAAGGUAGCGAAAUUCCUUGUCGGGUAAGUUCCGACCUGCACGAAUGGCGUAAUGAUGGCCAGGCUGUCUCCACCCGAGACUCAGUGAAAUUGAACUCGCUGUGAAGAUGCAGUGUACCCGCGGCAAGACGGAAAGACCCCGUGAACCUUUACUAUAGCUUGACACUGAACAUUGAGCCUUGAUGUGUAGGAUAGGUGGGAGGCUUUGAAGUGUGGACGCCAGUCUGCAUGGAGCCGACCUUGAAAUACCACCCUUUAAUGUUUGAUGUUCUAACGUGGACCCGUAAUCCGGGUUGCGGACAGUGUCUGGUGGGUAGUUUGACUGGGGCGGUCUCCUCCUAAAGAGUAACGGAGGAGCACGAAGGUUGGCUAAUCCUGGUCGGACAUCAGGAGGUUAGUGCAAUGGCAUAAGCCAGCUUGACUGCGAGCGUGACGGCGCGAGCAGGUGCGAAAGCAGGUCAUAGUGAUCCGGUGGUUCUGAAUGGAAGGGCCAUCGCUCAACGGAUAAAAGGUACUCCGGGGAUAACAGGCUGAUACCGCCCAAGAGUUCAUAUCGACGGCGGUGUUUGGCACCUCGAUGUCGGCUCAUCACAUCCUGGGGCUGAAGUAGGUCCCAAGGGUAUGGCUGUUCGCCAUUUAAAGUGGUACGCGAGCUGGGUUUAGAACGUCGUGAGACAGUUCGGUCCCUAUCUGCCGUGGGCGCUGGAGAACUGAGGGGGGCUGCUCCUAGUACGAGAGGACCGGAGUGGACGCAUCACUGGUGUUCGGGUUGUCAUGCCAAUGGCACUGCCCGGUAGCUAAAUGCGGAAGAGAUAAGUGCUGAAAGCAUCUAAGCACGAAACUUGCCCCGAGAUGAGUUCUCCCUGAGACUUUAGGUCUCCUGAAGGAACGUUGAAGACGACGACGUUGAUAGGCCGGGUGUGUAAGCGCAGCGAUGCGUUGAGCUAACCGGUACUAAUGAACCGUGAGGCUUAACCUUACAACGCCGAAG
This 3028-nucleotide ribosomal RNA is filed under the name Salmonella enterica subsp. enterica serovar Typhimurium. RNAcentral describes it as "23S ribosomal RNA". It matches the Rfam family "Bacterial large subunit ribosomal RNA". Lineage: Bacteria; Pseudomonadati; Pseudomonadota; Gammaproteobacteria; Enterobacterales; Enterobacteriaceae. The record is from RNAcentral.